CGAUUUGGCGCGUAAUUUUAGUGGAAGGGGAAAUGUCGUUUCAGCCAAUUAGAAAGUCCUUAGGCAAUCCUAUAAUGCGUAGCAUCAUUGUUCUGUCGAAAAUCUUCGUGACGUGACGUGUUGCUGGAUUAACCUGUAUAAUAUUAACUACGCAAUUACUAUUAGUUGAUUGCAGGAUGCAGCAUAUGGGAAUAUAAAACACCAUGAUACGCCAUAUUGAUUACGUCAAACAGUCAACGUAUUAAUUUUUCAAGAAGAUUUGAACAUUUUUUUUUAUUACGACCAAGCGCAAUGUGGUCAAUAGAGUCAGUGUUUGUUGCGCAAUAGUAUUUUCAAUAUAUUUCAGUGUAUAAAACUUCUUAUUUAUUUUAAUUAUAAUAAUCAUUCGCGAAAUUAGAAUCAGUGUUUGUUCGCCUAUAAUAAUUUCAACAGUAAUAUCAAUAGUUUUUUUAUUUAUUUAUUUAUUUUUUUUAAUAUUCAUUUUCGGUACAUAUUAGAGUCAGUGCAUCAAGAAAAUAAAACAAUCAUCUAUCAUCAUA
Molecule: long non-coding RNA, 539 nt
Organism: Apis florea (little honeybee)
Lineage: Eukaryota; Metazoa; Arthropoda; Insecta; Hymenoptera; Apidae
Source: RefSeq, a predicted model, not a curated record